This 667-nucleotide ribosomal RNA is filed under the name uncultured archaeon. RNAcentral's name for it is "bacterial SSU rRNA". It matches the Rfam family "Archaeal small subunit ribosomal RNA", at positions 1 to 667 of the family's 1478-position model. The record is from RNAcentral.
UCCGGUUGAUCCUGCCGGAGGCCACUGCUAUGGGGGUCCGACUAAGCCAUGCGAGUCAUGGGGCGCCUUGCGCGCACCGGCGGACGGCUCAGUAACACGUCGGUAACCUACCCUCGGGAGGGGGAUAACCCCGGGAAACUGGGGCUAAUCCCCCGUAGGCCUGAGGUACUGGAAGGUCCCCAGGCCGAAAGGGUCUUUGACCGCCCGAGGAUGGGCCGGCGGCCGAUUAGGUAGUUGGUGGGGUAACGGCCCACCAAGCCGAAGAUCGGUACGGGCCAUGAGAGUGGGAGCCCGGAGACGGACACUGAGACACGGGUCCAGGCCCUACGGGGCGCAGCAGGCGCGAAACCUCCGCAAUGCUCGAAAGAGCGACGGGGGGACCCCCAGUGCCGUGGCAUCGCCACGGCUUUUCCGGAGUGUAAAGAGCUCCGGGAAUAAGGGCUGGGCAAGGCCGGUGGCAGCCGCCGCGGUAAUACCGGCGGCCCGAGUGGUGGCCGCUAUUAUUGGGCCUAAGGCGUCCGUAGCCGGGCCAGUAAGUCCCUGGCGAAAUCCCACGGCUCAACCGUGGGGCUUGCUGGGGAUACUGCUGGCCUUGGGACCGGGAGAGGCGGAGGGUACUCCUGGGGUAGGGGUGAAAUCCUAUAAAUCCAGGAGGACCGCCAGUGGC